GGCCACGAGUGCCGGCGCGGAGAUGCCGCAGCUACCGAGAGGGGGCUGCUGGCGUGCGGUGAUAACGCGGGCCCGCAGCGCAGGGCUCUUUGCAGGGCCCCGCGGGGCUUCGGGCGGCCCGGGUUGCACUCGGGACGCCCCUUCCGGAGCCGGCGAGCUGCGGGGCGAGCUUGAUAGAUUCGGGGGCGUCUCCGUGCGCCUGGCGCGGCUGGACGCAGUGCACCGCCUGGACCCGGUCGCCUUCCAGAGGGCCUUGCAGGCUGCAAUACAGAAAUGGAGAUCAGAAGGUAGAGUAGCAGUAUGGCUGCACAUUCCCAUCCUCCAAAGUCGAUUUAUUGCCCCUGCCGCUUCCCUGGGCUUCUGCUUUCACCACGCAGAAUCGGACUCAUCCACGCUGACUCUGUGGCUGGGAGAGGGGCCCAGCAGAUUACCAGGAUAUGCUACACAUCAAGUGGGAGUUGCAGGAGCUGUAUUUGAUGAAAAUACUAGAAAAAUAUUGGUUGUACAAGAUCGAAGUAAAUUGAAAAAUAUGUGGAAGUUUCCAGGAGGCCUGUCAGAGCCUGGAGAAGAUAUUGGAGAUACAGCAGUUCGAGAAGUUUUUGAAGAGACUGGUAUAAAGUCAGAAUUCAGGUCCCUCCUGAGUAUUCGGCAACAGCACACCCAUCCUGGAGCUUUUGGGAAGUCAGAUAUGUAUAUUAUCUGCCGCUUAAAGCCAUAUUCAUUCACCAUAAAUUUUUGCCAGCGUGAAUGCUUAAGGUGUGAGUGGAUGGAUCUCAGUGACCUAGUCAAGACUGAAAAUACAACUCCGAUCACCAGCAGAGUCGCUAGGCUGCUGCUGUAUGGAUACAGAGAAGGGUUUGACAAGAUUGAUCUGACCGUGGAAGAACUUCCAGCAGUUUACACAGGCUUGUUCUAUAAAAUCUAUCACAAGGAACUGCCAGACAGUUAUAAAACUAUGACAGGAAUGGAUUAAAUUUAUAUUUACAUGGUUUUAAAAUGUUUAAGUAAAUUGUACCUGUAGAUUAAUGUGUGCCAUAUUAUAAGAACAGUAGUGGACAUUUGGGUUAACUAAAUAUCUGACUUAAAUUUUCUAAUGUCUAUGAUUUCCAUGAAGACAACUUGUUUGUACGUAUGCACAUUUUAAAAGCCUCUUUUCAGAUGAAGCAAAUGUAUGAAAAAGACUGUAGCUCUAAGUAAGCUUCACUGGAUAAAGGCAAAUGCUAUAUAAAAACUGGAAGUCUAUGCAUUUUCCAGGAAUUUUUGUUGUUGUUGUUGUUUUACUAAGGCAAUGGUUAAAUAUUUUACUGUUAGAUAAAAGGUUAUCUGACCAGUUACCUAAACUGAGCAGAUAGCUGUAUACAUUUUUCUUUUUCUUUCAUCAACAAAUUUCUAAAAUAUACCUCUUCUUUCAUGUGAAAUGAGAUCAGAUGCUGCCAUUAAGAUCAGCUCUUAGCAGACAUUGGAAGAAAAAGUAUAGCUUUCUGCCCAGGUCCUGUUUUGGGUCCAAGUUUAUACUGCCCAGUUCGUUUCAGUGCCACAUACCAACUGGAGUAUUUCCUUGACCGGUUUAAGGUCAGGAGUCGAAAAGUAAGGAGUGAAAGGAAAAGUCAUGUAAUCAUAAAGAUAGCAUGAAAGAGGUUGCUUGUACCUUUUUACACAGAGGGGAGAGAAGGAAAUUGUGCAUCUGUGCUGAACAUUCAGACAUAGAAAAGGAGGUCUUCAGAGGAAUGACAUCACAGAGGAAGUGGGCACUGGGAUACAUCAGUGAACAAAACUGAACAAAGAUCCCUGCCUUUGUGCUGGUCAAAUUCUCACUGGGGGAGACACAAAAUAAGCAUUUUGGCUUAUGAGAGAGUUUGCUCAACAUGAGUCCAAGAAUACUUUUGCUUACACCGCUUCUGAGAAUUAAAAACAGACAUGAUGUUUGUCUCUUCCCAUUGUCACCUGAGUGAGGUCCCUGCUGACAUCCCCGGCUACAGUGUCUUUCAUCAUCAGUGAUUCAUCGCAACCCAUUAAACAGUGGAACAGAUGCUAUUAAUAGCCAAGGGUCAAGACUUUUCAUUUCUUGCCUGAAAGUUGCUAUUGUUGACAGCUCAAUGCCUAUGGAUCUGGCUCAGAGGAAAAUAUGCCACUUCCUGAACCACCACCAACACCACCUCCUUUGUUUGGGGGUAGGGACACUUACUUUUUCAUCUGAAAAUUGACACAGCCCACCCAGACUAAUCUGAAAGAGGAUUGCUGCUGAAGAGACAAGGCAGCAAGCCACACAAAUUGAAUGGUAAGACUAGAGAUUGACUCGUGACCUUGGCAUGGAAUAGAUCCAGUGACGGGAGCUGGAACAACUGGAUCUUGGCUGGUGCCUUUCCUCAAAUAAAACUGAUAAAUCCUGAAUAUUUCA
This is an RNA transcript of Balaenoptera musculus (blue whale), 2398 nucleotides long. It is a transcript of the gene named nudix hydrolase 6, with no coding region annotated. Lineage: Eukaryota; Metazoa; Chordata; Mammalia; Artiodactyla; Balaenopteridae. The record is from RefSeq and is a predicted model, not a curated record. The transcript has 11 exons.